AAGGCUGUAGCGCAGGGGUCGUCGCGCCCAAACCGCAUUUGGGAGGACGCCGGUUCGAAUCCGGCCAGUCUUG
This 73-nucleotide transfer RNA is filed under the name Lipingzhangella halophila. It matches the Rfam family "tRNA". From Rfam's summary of the family: Transfer RNA (tRNA) molecules are approximately 80 nucleotides in length. Their secondary structure includes four short double-helical elements and three loops (D, anti-codon, and T loops). The record is from Rfam by way of RNAcentral. Lineage: Bacteria; Bacillati; Actinomycetota; Actinomycetes; Streptosporangiales; Nocardiopsidaceae.